CAGUAGCCGCGGUAAUACGGAGGGUGCAAGCGUUAAUCGGAAUUACUGGGCGUAAAGCGCACGCAGGCGGUUUGUUAAGUCAGAUGUGAAAUCCCCGAGCUUAACUUGGGAACUGCAUUAGAAACUGGCAAGCUAGAGUCUUGUAGAGGGGGGUAGAAUUCCAGGUGUAGCGGUGAAAUGCGUAGAGAUCUGGAGGAAUACCGGUGGCGAAGGCGGCCCCCUGGACAAAGACUGACGCUCAGGUGCGAAAGCGAGGGGAGCAAACAGGAUUAGAGACCCCUGUAGUCCCUGUCUCUUAUAC
Molecule: ribosomal RNA, 301 nt
Filed under: uncultured bacterium
Lineage: Bacteria
Description: partial 16S ribosomal RNA
Rfam family: Bacterial small subunit ribosomal RNA
Source: RNAcentral